This is a long non-coding RNA of Oncorhynchus keta (chum salmon), 2824 nucleotides long. RefSeq lists it as uncharacterized. NCBI's taxonomy places the organism in Eukaryota, Metazoa, Chordata, Actinopteri, Salmoniformes, Salmonidae. The record is from RefSeq and is a predicted model, not a curated record. The transcript is spliced from 3 exons.
UCAGGGACAUUAUGCAUACUUCCACUCCCUACUGAGGAUGAAGAGAAAAGCUGUAAACCGCUGCUGUUUCACGUCUGGGCGGCUGCCUAAUUCCAGAGCUAGACGACGCCACAGUGACACACUGGCAGCGACACACAGAAGCCGGGCUGGCUGCUCCCACCAUGCGUCCUUUUAUUCCGCUUCAGCGCAGAUAAAACGCAGACGGCGCCAUAGCCGACCUCCCCAGUCCAGCCUCAACGGUCCCGCCUUCCCCUGCCGGGUUUAGCGACCAGCCAUACUGACACCACACGCAGACAAGCAUCUGGACAGACAAACGUGGUCCUGAGAUAUCAAUGUCUGUCAUGUUUAGGCUACUGAAAUAACGGCGUUAAUCCACACACACAUAACAAUUGUCUCGAAUUGAGACAGAAGAGGCCUAUUCGACGAAUGCCAGUCCAAUGUCUGAAUCACAACACAGAUAUGCACACACACUGUCGAAAAUGAGUGAAAUAAAACGAAAUGAAGGCACUAUUCUCCCGUCUCCUCGUUCGCAGUCCUUCUCCUUUCACCGUAUAUGUGCCUCUUUCUCCCCUCUCCCUGCUUCCACCGGCCCAAGAAUCGAUCUCCGCAGGAUCGAUAAGUUGGCAUGAAUAUUCCCUGCCUGCAGAGAGGGUAGUUCGGGAGAGACGGAGGCUGAGGCACAGGCGUACGGAGCGGAGGAGAGGGGAAGGAUGGAGAGAAACGACAGAAAACAAACGGGGAAGAGGGAUACAUCACCAGGAGAAAAGGAACGUAAAUAAACACCAGAUGAACCCGUCGCGCAUUACGCGCACGUGCUCUUUCAAGGGAAUGGAGAAAAUGACGUUUACGCGCAAUUAUUUGCAAUCUAACUAUGGACUUUUAUGUCUGUUUAUUUACACAUUUAAAACAAGAGAGAAGAGGAGUGAGUGUAUUCCAGCCUUCAACACAGAAGUGUGUGUGCCCAGAACACAUUCCAGUUCCCGAGUGGAUAAUCGGCACCGAAAAGCGCGCUACAUGGGAGUCGUUAAGGUGGGGCGGGUAUGCAUGACUGAGCCUCACGGACGUGGCAAUAAUAACGGAAAAUGUCUUACCGGAGUCGGAACGUAGAGCCAACGGGGACUUGAGACGCCAGGCGUUGAGGUCAGGGGCAGUUCUCUGAAACAUGAACGGCACCGGCAAGGGAACAAACAUGAUCUUCCUCCGUCUUCUGCCUUCAUCUCUACCUCCGAAUACACCACAAUACAACACGGUUUAUUGUCCCUCUCCCUCCGCUCCACGUAUGACAGAUGACAUCCGCAAGUCCAACGAGAGGACGGAGGGAUGUGGUUGAGGAGAGGAUGGAGGGAAGGGGAGAGAAGCGACUAGUUGUCCUUCACGCACCCCCUUUUCGAACAGAGGCAGGGAGCCUGCAGGGAGGCUGCUCCAGACUUCCCCUCCCCUGUGGCCUCCAUGGACCCCUGGAGCCCAGAGAGAAAACCCCUGGGAGGCCUCACCAUCCAAUAACCCCUGCUGCUCUGGACCAUUCUCACCAGGGGCCCGGACGGCCUGGGACAGAUUGUCCACUGAUGGGACUGGUACUUGGUCAAACAGAGAAAAUAGAGAGGCUCUUCUCAUCCCCUUUUUUUUAAUGAAGGGGGACAUCUAGUCAGUUGUACAACUGAAUGUAUUCAACUGAAUCGUGUCUUCCGCAUUUAACCCAACUCCUCUGAAUCAGAGAGGUGUAGCAGGGGGCUGCCUUAAUUGUCAUCCACGUCAUCGGCAUAACAACAGAUGUUUACCUUGUCAGCUCGGGGAUUUGAUCCAGCAACCUUUCGGUUACAGGCCCAACACUCCUACCCACCAGGCUACCUCUGAGAUGGAGAUGGAAAGGAGUCAUUGUCACUGUUAUUAUUCUGUACUGUUAUGUUAUUGCAAGGUACUGUAUGGUAAUGGCUAUAUGGAUGCUUGAUAGUCAAUACAAUUGUUUUAAUUGACAUUUGUUUGAUCAUUAAUAAAGAAAGCAUUACACUCAUAGCCUGAAGAAAAUGACGUGAAAUUGGCAUAUUUUCUCCUAACAUGAUAUGUUGCAUAUUUUGAGGUAUGAUUCAUUUGAGAUGAUUGUACAAUCUAUAUAAAACAAUAGUAUUAGCACACUUCCUUAUGGUUAUUCCAAACCUGUCUGUACAUUUAUUGGGCGUAUUCCUGUUACACGUUUCACCAUUUUAAGCCAAUUUCAAUAUUGGGGAUUACCAGAUUAUUGGCCCCAUUGUGGUAAAAAAUGGGAUCUCAGAUAUAUUUUUAUUUCAUUACAAUGGUAUGACAAUGUUAUUACAAAUACAUAGAUUUCAUUGCUUAAUUUGUACAAAAAUCCUACAUUUUCUUUCCAUUUAAAUAGGCAUUAAUGGAUAGAAAUAAAAUUCCCAGGCUGAUUACAAGGUUGUUGUUUCUUAAUAAAUGUUGCAUACUUUAUUGUGUGUGAUAACAUGUCCUGAUUAACGGUUAGUUCAUCUGCCAUUUUCUCUGUAGAACGAUAUAUUGCUAUUUAUAAUCAGGAUUUUGAUUUCAAAAAAAUAAAUGAGAUAUUUUUAAACAAUAAAUCAAAGCUUCAUCUAUGCAUUCAGGAAAAAUGAAUAACAUCCAACAAAAUUGACAACAAAUUCUAUCAAUCACCAAUGACAUACAUAGAAUGCAGAAUGUUCCUAAAGAUGUCAUAAUGGUAUAUCCUUCUUGAAAUAUUCCAUUGGGAAGCUGGGUGGUUAGAACCCAUGAGCCUUCCAAAAGAAGUGUGUAACUAUGUACGAGCUGUGUGUGAGUGUGUACUGCAUGCGUGCAUGAUGUGUGUGCU